UCAAAUUUGAAAUCUGGCUCCUUCGGGGUCCGAGUUGUAAUUUGCAGAGGGUGCUUUGGCGUUGGCGGCGGUCUAAGUUCCUUGGAACAGGACAUCACAGAGGGUGAGAAUCCCGUACGUGGUCGCCUGCCUUCGCCGUGUAAAGCCCCUUCGACGAGUCGAGUUGUUUGGGAAUGCAGCUCUAAAUGGGAGGUAAAUUUCUUCUAAAGCUAAAUACCGGCCAGAGACCGAUAGCGCACAAGUAGAGUGAUCGAAAGAUGAAAAGCACUUUGGAAAGAGAGUCAAACAGCACGUGAAAUUGUUAUAAGGGAAGCGCUUGCAGCCAGACUUGCCUGUAGUUGCUCACCUGGGCUUUUGCCCGGGGCACUCUUCUGCAGGCAGGCCAGCAUCAGUUUGGGCGGUCGGAUAAAGGCCUCUGACACGUACUUCCUUUCGGGGUUGACAUAUAGGGGAGGCGUAAUGCGACCAGCCUGGACUGAGGUCCGCGCAUCUGCUAGGAUGCUGGCGUAAUGGCUGUAAGCGGCCCGUCUUGAAACACGGACCAAGGAGUCUAACAUCUAUGCGAGUGUUUGGGUGUCAAGCCCGAGCGCGUAAUGAAAGUGAACGGAGGUGGGAACCCCUCGGGGCGCACCAUCGACCGAUCCUGAUGUCUUCGGAUGGAUUUGAGUAAGAGCAUAGCUGUUGGGACCCGAAAGAUGGUGAACUAUGCUUGAAUAGGGUGAAGCCAGAGGAAACUCUGGUGGAGGCUCGCAGCGGUUCUGACGUGCAAAU
Molecule: ribosomal RNA, 771 nt
Filed under: Periconia verrucosa
Lineage: Eukaryota; Fungi; Ascomycota; Dothideomycetes; Pleosporales; Periconiaceae
Description: partial large subunit ribosomal RNA
Rfam family: Eukaryotic large subunit ribosomal RNA
Source: RNAcentral